RNAcentral lists this ribosomal RNA (253 nucleotides) under uncultured bacterium. RNAcentral describes it as "partial 16S ribosomal RNA". It matches the Rfam family "Bacterial small subunit ribosomal RNA", at positions 524 to 776 of the family's 1533-position model. The record is from RNAcentral.
UACGAAGGGUGCGAGCGUUGUUCGGAAUUAUUGGGCGUAAAGGGUGCGUAGACGGCACAUUAAGUCUGUUGUUAAAUUUCUCGGCUCAACCGAGAAUCAGCGAUAGAAACUGGUGCGCUAGAGGGUGAAAGAGAGAAGUGGAAUUCUCGGAGUAGCGGUAAAAUGCGUGGAUCUCGAGAGGAACACCAAUGGCGAAGGCAGCUUCUUGGCUCACAUCUGACGUUGAGGCACGAAAGCGUGGGGAGCAAACAGG